RNAcentral lists this long non-coding RNA (864 nucleotides) under Cavia porcellus (domestic guinea pig). Its description in RNAcentral is "lncRNA (ENSCPOG00000037625.1)". The record is from RNAcentral. Lineage: Eukaryota; Metazoa; Chordata; Mammalia; Rodentia; Caviidae.
CAUAAAUACUCUUCAAGUGUCUCAAUAAUGUUACUGUUUGGUUAACUUCAUCUUUUACAGCCUGCACUUAAUUUAAGGGACCUUGGAUUGUCUGAAUUAAAAGUUGGACAGAUUGACCAAUUGGUAGAAGAUCUACUUCCUGGAUUUUACAGAGGCAAAAGUAUUUCUUCCCACUGGCACACAUCUCAUAUCUCUGCACAGUCCUUCUUUGAAAAUAAAUAUGGUCACUUAGAUAUGUUUAGUGCUUUACGUUCCACUUGCUUGUUUCGACAGCAUCCAAGAACUCUUCAAAGAAUUUGUUCAGAUCUUCAUUACUGGCCAGUUUUUAUACAGUCUCGGGGUUUUAAAACUUUGAAAUCGAGGACACGACGUCUGCAGUCCACCUCUGAAAGAGUAGCAGAAACACAGAAUGUAGCACCAUCCUUUGUGAAGGGGUUUCUUUUGCGGGACAGAGGAUCAGAUGUUGAGAGUUUGGACAAACUCAUGAAAACGAAAAACAUACCUGAAGCUCAUCAAGAUGCAUUUAAAACUGGUUUUGCAGAGGGUUUUCUGAAAGCUCAAACAUUAACACAAAAAACCAAUGAUUCUUUAAGGCGAACUCGUUUAAUUCUUUUUGUUCUGCUUCUGUUUGGCAUUUAUGGACUCUUAAAAAAUCCAUUUUUAUCUGUCCGCUUCUGGACUACUACCGGGCUUGAUUCUGCAGUAGAUCCUGUUCAGAUGAAAAAUGUCACUUUUGAGCACGUUAAAGGAGACCUAUCUAGGACUCCACAUUGUGUGCAGUGGCGGGGACACCGCUGUCUCCUCCCAUCUGUGGCUGUCCGCUGUCUACCAGGAACGCUGUCCUUGUUCCUCUGCACAGUCUAA